RNAcentral lists this long non-coding RNA (2286 nucleotides) under Homo sapiens (human). Its description in RNAcentral is "HSALNT0226730". The record is from RNAcentral. Lineage: Eukaryota; Metazoa; Chordata; Mammalia; Primates; Hominidae.
GUCCCCUUUUCAAAAUUAAAAUUAAUGACAUCUACACUCAGCAACCACACACAUGGGCGGGGGGCACCGUUCUUGGAGCUACUGCAAUACCAGGUCGAUGCAUGGAGUGAACUAAGUAAGCUGCUAUUGCAACCCCCUCCUACAAAAAUCCACUUUAUAUACAUUUUUUUAGACAGGGUCUCAUCAUGUCACCCACUCUGGAGCUCAGUGGUGCCAUCAUGGCUGACUGCAGCCUUGACUUCCUGGGCUCAGGCAAUCCUCCAGCCUCAGCCUCUUGAGUAGCUGGACUAUAGGUGAGCUCAGGUGAUCCUCCUGGCUCAGCUUCCCCAGUAGCUGGGACUACAGGCACGCACCACCACACCUAGCUAAUUUUUGUAUUUUUUUGUAGAGUCAGUGUCUCACUAUGUUGCCCAGGCUGGCCCCCACUGGGUUGGCCUCUGUCAUACACCCCGCGGCACCCAGACUCCUCGGUGGCCCUUAGCCUCAGGUUCAUAGACUCAUCAGUCAGGGAUUUCUAUGUUUCCUCUGUGGCUCUGCGGGGGAUGGGUUGUGACCUGUUUACCACUAGAUCCCGGGAACCCUGCUUGGGCCUGUACAUCAAAGUCCCCAAGAAGUGAAGGAGCAAGAAAGUGGCAGAAUUUUUAAAAUUUUCAAUUUAAUUUAAAAAAUUAAUGUUUUAAAAUUUGUGUUUGGAUUUAAAAUGUGAAUGGAUAUCCAUAAUUGCAUUUUUUUUUUUUUGAGAUGGGGUCUCGCUCUGUCGCCCAGGCUGGAGUGCAAUGGCAUGAUCUCGGCUUACUGCAACCUCCACCUCCUGGGUUCAAGUGAUUCUCCUGCCUCAGCCUCCCGAGUAGAUGAGAUUACAGAUGCCCACUGCCACGCCUGGCCAAUUUUUUGUAUUUUUUAGUAGAGACAGGGUUUCACCAUGUUGGCUAGGCUUGUCUCCAACUCCUGACCUCAGGUGAUUCACCUGCCUCAGCCUCCCAAAGUACUGGGAUUACAGGCGUGACCAUGACCGGCCAUAAUUGCAAUUUUUUAAACAGUUAUUUGUUUUUUGAGAUGGAGACUCACUCUGUCACUCAGGCUGGAGUGCAGUGGUGUGAUCUCAGCUCACUGCAACCUCCACCUCCCGGGUUGAAGCCAUUCUCCUGCCUCAGUCUCCCGAGUAGCUGGGACUAGAGGCACCCACCACCACACCUGGCUAAUUUUUGUAUUUUUUUUUAGUAAAGACGGGGUUUCGCCAUGUUGGCCAGGCUGGUCUUGAAAUCCUGACCUCAGCUGGUCCGCCCGCCUCAGCCUCCCGAAGGCAGGGAUUACAGGCAUGAGCCACUGCACCUGGCCUAUUAUUUCAAUUUUAAUAUCAAAUUGCUAACACUAGGCUGGGCACGGUGGCUUGUACCUGUAAUCCCAGCACUUUGGGAGGCCGAGAUGGGAAGAUCGCUUGAGCCCAAGAGUUUGAGACCAGCCUGGGCAACACAGCGAGACCCCAUCUCCUCAAAAACUCAAAAAAGUAGCCUGCCUGUAGUCUCAGCUGCUCAGGAGGCUGAGGUGGGAGGAUGAUUGCUUGAGCCUGGAAGGUCUGCUGCACUACAGCCUGGGCAACAGAGCAGGACCCUGUCCCUGUCUCGAAAAAAAAAUAAAAAUAAAAGUAAAAAUAAAAAAUAAAGAACAGGAGAGGGGCUCCGGGAUAUGGGUGGCAAAAAAAGGCAACAUGGGGUCCUAACCUGGCCAUUUUUGUCCUCACUGCUCACUGGGAUGUGGUGUGGAUGAUGCUGGGUGAUAUCACGGAACCAGCGGCGAUCCUCUCAGGCACACUCGCAUUAACAUGGCUAUGACUGGGAAGGGUGUGCUCAGAGGUGCAGGCAGAAUGGUUUUGGAGUCUGCUGCCUGCAUUUGGAUGGUUUGGCAAAAGAGAAGUGUGUGGAGGAGAGACAGAGGGAGGGAGAGAGAAAAAAGAGGAGAGAGAGAGGGAAGGAGAGCCGGGGAACCCAGGCCAGGGCGAUACAGUAUGCACUGCGUGCUCCUGCAACUUUUAUGCUCCAAAUGUUUCAAAAUAAAACCAGAGGGUGAGGAAAACAGUGAUGUGGCCAGGCCCAGUGUGCAGGCUCCAGCUCCCCAGUAUGCGUCUCCCUCCCGGCCGACUGCCAGCGCCACUGAAAGACUCAGACCCAGGGGUGGUGGCAUCAGAGCUGAGCCUCAAAGGACCCAGAAGCCUGGGAUGUUUAAAACCUGCCCAUUAUGGGGUCUAGCGAACAGCUUCUUUUAUUCUUGUUUGAAAGUAUUUUUCUG